UGCCGCAACAAAGAGAAGAAGGAGGACCUUUGGACAUGCUUGCCAUUCAAGUUGGAUUGUUGGAGCGUUUUUAGGUGUUUUCAUUCUUUUGUUUUCAAUGUCUAAAUUUGUUUAUCUUUGCUUUGUGAGUAUGAGAAACUAAACCCCCCUUAGCUAGGGGGGAAUUCGAAACCAUGUUCAUGCUUGCAAUAUGAUUUGAUUACUUUUAGUUGUGAUUCAUAAGUUGUGAAUUCAAUUUACUUAUCCAUUUGAAUUAAAACUGAUUUGUGUAUGUUGGUUGAGAGUGCACGCUUAAUUUUCAUGCAUAAAUCUGAUGUGAGGAUAUAAGGGAGUUUCACCUAAUCGUUAUGAACUUAUAUUAACAAGUAGUAAAGGUUGCUCGUCACAACCGUGUUAAGUAAAUUCUUGGCAUAAGUUUCAUGCAAUUCAUAGUUACAAUUGUUUCGUCAAUGCUUAUGAUUUUCAUAAAACUUAAUGAUUCUUGCUUGUAUCUCUAUUAUGCAAUUCAUGUAGGGAACUUGUGGGGAAUGUGUUGGGUUGUUGUAUGCAAUCAUCCAAUUUAAUGAAAUUAGGAAAAUCUGAGGGUUAAUUAGUGCAAUUCACAGUUAAUCUGGGGCAUUGAGAAUUCGUAGUUUAUUGAAAAGCAACUGGAAAUCGUUUUGUUUACAAGUGUGUCAUGUGUGGAGAAGAACCUCUUAGCUAGCCUUCCAUCCAUUCAAUCUACUCAAAUUCGUGCAGAUUUCAUUAGUUCUUUAAUUUACUUGUUUUGUUUUCAAUUUCGUCAAAACCAAAACCCCCUUUACCUUGUUGCGUCAUAUUAGUUAGAAACUUAUUUAGUUUGUGUUUUUAAGUGUUUCGAACCAAGUUAAAACCAAAAUUCGUCCAAAAGUGUGUUUAGAGUCUAAAUCUGCCCAGUUUGUGUUUUUAGGCAGAUUUGAGCGUUUUUAGCUUGUUUUGAGUCUUUUGAGUUUGUCUUGAGU
RNAcentral lists this long non-coding RNA (980 nucleotides) under Malus domestica (apple). RNAcentral's name for it is "long non-coding RNA (MDOM_LNC006853)". Lineage: Eukaryota; Viridiplantae; Streptophyta; Magnoliopsida; Rosales; Rosaceae. The record is from RNAcentral.